CCUACGGGUGGCUGCAGUGAGGAAUAUUGGUCAAUGGACGAGAGUCUGAACCAGCCAAGUAGCGUGAAGGAUGACUGCCCUAUGGGGUGUAAACUUCUUUUAUAAAGGGAUAAAGUGAGGCACGUGUGCCUUUUUGUAUGUACUUUAUGAAUAAGGAUCGGCUAACUCCGUGCCAGCAGCCGCGGUAAUACGGGGGAUCCGAGCGUUAUCCGGAUUUAUUGGGUUUAAAGGGUGCGUAGAUGGGUUGUUAAGUCAGGUGUGAAAGUUUGCGGCUCAACCGUAAAAUUGCAAUUGAUACUGGCAGUCUUGAGUACAGUUGAGGUAGGCGGAAUUCGUGGUGUAGCGGUGAAAUGCUUAGAUAUCACGAAGAACUCCGAUUGCGAAGGCAGCUUACUAAACUGCCACUGACAUUGAUGCUCGAAAGUGUGGGUAUCAAACAGGAUUAGAUACCCUGGUAGUC
Molecule: ribosomal RNA, 460 nt
Filed under: uncultured bacterium
Lineage: Bacteria
Description: partial 16S ribosomal RNA
Rfam family: Bacterial small subunit ribosomal RNA
Source: RNAcentral